CUUGGGUAGGGCGGGACACGUGAAAUCCUGUCUGAACAUGGGGAGACCACUCUCCAAGCCUAAGUACUCGUGCAUGACCGAUAGCGAACAAGUACCGUGAGGGAAAGGUGAAAAGCACCCCGACAAGGGGAGUGAAAGAGAACCUGAAACCGUGUGCCUACAACAAGUUCGAGCCCGUUAAUGGGUGAGAGCGUGCCUUUUGUAGAAUGAACCGGCGAGUUACGUUAUGAUGCGAGGUUAAGUUGAAGAGACGGAGCCGUAGGGAAACCGAGUCUGAAUAGGGCGCCUUAGUAUCAUGUCGUAGACCCGAAACCAUGUGACCUACCCAUGAGCAGGUUGAAGGUGCGGUAAGACGCACUGGAGGACCGAACCAGGGCACGUUGAAAAGUGCUUGGAUGACUUGUGGGUAGCGGAGAAAUUCCAAACGAACUUGGAGAUAGCUGGUUCUCUCCGAAAUAGCUUUAGGGCUAGCGUCGACAUAAAGAUUCUUGGAGGUAGAGCACUGUUUGGGUGAGGGGUCCAUCCCGGAUUACCAAUCUCAGAUAAACUCCGAAUGCCAAUGAAUUAUGGUCGGCAGUCAGACUGCGAGUGCUAAGAUCCGUAGUCGAAAGGGAAACAGCCCAGACCACCAGCUAAGGUCCCAAAAUAAUUGUUAAGUGGAAAAGGAUGUGGGGUUGCACAGACAACUAGGAUGUUAGCUUAGAAGCAGCUAUUCAUUCAAAGAGUGCGUAAUAGCUCACUAGUCGAGUGACCCUGCGCCGAAAAUGUACCGGGGCUAAAACAAUUUACCGAAGCUGUGGAUGCACGUAUGUGCGUGGUAGCGGAGCGUUCUGUAAGCCUUUGAAGGUGUCCUCGUGAGGGGUGCUGGCGGUAUCAGAAGUGCGAAUGCUGACAUGAGUAACGAUAAAGCGGGGGAAAAGCCCGCUCGCCGGAAGACCACGGGUCCCUGUC
This 951-nucleotide ribosomal RNA is filed under the name Enterobacter hormaechei. Its description in RNAcentral is "partial 23S ribosomal RNA". It matches the Rfam family "Bacterial large subunit ribosomal RNA", at positions 407 to 1359 of the family's 2925-position model. Lineage: Bacteria; Pseudomonadati; Pseudomonadota; Gammaproteobacteria; Enterobacterales; Enterobacteriaceae. The record is from RNAcentral.